GUGAGUAGUUCAGAGUUUGAUCCUGGCUCAGGACGAACGCUGGCGGCGUGCUUAACACAUGCAAGUCGAACGGAGUAAAGAGCUCGGUUUUUUACUUAGUGGCGAACGGUGAGUAACGCGUGAGGAACCUGCCUUUCAGUGGGGGACAACAGUUGGAAACGACUGCUAAUACCGCAUGAUACUAUUGGACCGCAUGGUCUGGUAGUCAAAGAUUUAUUGCUGAAAGAUGGCCUCGCGUCUGAUUAGCUAGUUGGUGAGGUAACGGCUCACCAAGGCGACGAUCAGUAGCCGGCCUGAGAGGAUGAACGGCCACAUUGGGACUGAGAUACGGCCCAG
Molecule: ribosomal RNA, 336 nt
Filed under: uncultured bacterium
Lineage: Bacteria
Description: bacterial SSU rRNA
Rfam family: Bacterial small subunit ribosomal RNA
Source: RNAcentral